CAGUAGCCGCGGUAAUACGGAGGGGGCUAGCGUUGUUCGGAAUUACUGGGCGUAAAGCGCACGUAGGCGGCUUGGUAAGUUAGAGGUGAAAGCCCGGAGCUCAACUCCGGAAUUGCCUUUAAGACUGCCGAGCUAGCAGGUGAGAGAGGUAAGUGGAAUUCCGAGUGUAGAGGUGAAAUUCGUAGAUAUUCGGAAGAACACCAGUGGCGAAGGCGGCUUACUGGCUCAUACUGGACGCUGAGGUGCGAAAGCGUGGGGAGCAAACAGGAUUAGAGACCCGUGUAGUCCCUGUCUCUUAUAC
Molecule: ribosomal RNA, 301 nt
Filed under: uncultured bacterium
Lineage: Bacteria
Description: partial 16S ribosomal RNA
Rfam family: Bacterial small subunit ribosomal RNA
Source: RNAcentral